UCCCAUACCAUUUCUGACUUCAACAGCAUCACCAAUUCAUUACAGCUAAUCAACAAAUGGUCCCCCAUGAGGACAAAAGCCUUCACACUACAGAGUAAGAAAAUUCCAGGUUAAUCCCCUGAUUUCCACUUGCUCACGAUAGCUGAGCAAAAUAAAAAAUUUAUGAAAUUAAGAAAUCAUCCUCUCGCAUAUCCGUUCUCCUCCUGGCCUGUACAGCUAGUCGAG
This 225-nucleotide unclassified non-coding RNA is filed under the name Hevea brasiliensis (rubber tree). The record is from RNAcentral. Lineage: Eukaryota; Viridiplantae; Streptophyta; Magnoliopsida; Malpighiales; Euphorbiaceae.